AUCCUUCUGUAGUUCUUAAGGGUAAUGAAUAAGUUUCCAUGUGCACGUGUGAGAUGUUUCCCAAAAACUUUAUUAUGAAGUUGGCGUACUACUCUUCUGUCA
Small nucleolar RNA from Otolemur garnettii (small-eared galago), 102 nucleotides. The record is from Ensembl. Lineage: Eukaryota; Metazoa; Chordata; Mammalia; Primates; Galagidae.